Molecule: non-coding RNA, 1028 nt
Organism: Pelodiscus sinensis (Chinese soft-shelled turtle)
Lineage: Eukaryota; Metazoa; Chordata; Testudines; Trionychidae
Source: RefSeq, a predicted model, not a curated record
AGGGAACAGGCAUUAUCUCCCCUCCACCACCAUGGGCCUAGCCACCCCCGUCAGACAGGGCCAGGGACCCCACAGAGCAGGGAAACAGGACUAGGGUGGCCAGGUGCCCAGUUUUCGUCCAGAAAGUCUGGUUGGACAGGGGACCUGAUAGCAUCCAGUGCAAUCUACUGCGCAGAUACUCGACAUCUGCCAAGCUGCGGUAGGGAGGUGCCAGCUCAGCAGCCACACCAGCCCCCAUGCAGCCUGAGCCCCCUUCUACCUGCAGGGAGCCCUGGCUCUGCAGGCGAGUCCUUCUCCCUCCUGCCCUGGGCAGAGGGGUGGGAAGGUAAAAACAAUGAGCAGUGGGGCAGCAAAGAGGAGUGGAUGAAGUGGGGCCUCAGGAGAAAGAGGUAGGACAAGGUUGUAGGGAGAGGAACAGGGCAAGGGAUAUUCUAGCAUUAGUCCAGUUCAGUCAUUUAGCAGGCCCAGCGUCCACGGAAUGAUUACAAAAGGUAUUAUCUGCUACAAUUUAGAACAGAGGUUUUCAGGCUUUUUCCUUUCUGAAACCCCCGUCAGUAUGCUAUAAAAACUACACGGCCCACUUGUGCCACAAUAAUUGCUUUUCUGCAUAUUAAAACUAGAGCCGGCGCUAAGGGGUAGGAAUUAGAACAAUUGUUUGGGGUCUUAUGCCACCGGGGCCUAAAAGACUACAUUGCUUAGGCUUCGGCUGGACUUCAUGCAGCAGGGCUUCAGACUUCUGUUCUGGGCCCCAGCAACUCUAAUAGGUUCUAUCCAUCGUUCUGUGUCAAAAGAAAGAAAUAUUCUAGCUAUUUUAAGAAAAUUUGAAGAAGAUUUACUCUCCCAAGGUUCUAGACCUAUGCAACCUGUAAUGACGACAAACAAUGGGCUGAGGAGAGAAAGUGUGAAGGAUUUUAUUACACUAUACAGUUAUUGGUUCUCUGUGUCACACAUGCAUUAUGAAUUAUAAUUACCAGCUUUAUAAUUGUAAUAUGAAAUGUAUAAAAUUAAAAUAAUUGCAUGAUUUUCCC